UACGUAGGGUGCGAGCGUAAUCGGAAUUACUGGGCGUAAAGCGUGCGCAGGCGGUCUGUUAAGACCGAUGUGAAAUCCCCGGGCUUAACCUGGGAACUGCAUUGGUGACUGGCAGGCUUUGAGUGUGGCAGAGGGAGGUAGAAUUCCACGUGUAGCAGUGAAAUGCGUAGAGAUGUGGAGGAAUACCGAUGGCGAAGGCAGCCUCCUGGGCCA
Molecule: ribosomal RNA, 213 nt
Filed under: uncultured bacterium
Lineage: Bacteria
Description: partial 16S ribosomal RNA
Rfam family: Bacterial small subunit ribosomal RNA
Source: RNAcentral